Ovis aries (sheep) is the source of this 72-nucleotide non-coding RNA. Lineage: Eukaryota; Metazoa; Chordata; Mammalia; Artiodactyla; Bovidae. The record is from Rfam.
UCCCUGGUGGCUCAGAGGUUAAAGCGUCUGCCUGCAAUGCGGGAGACGUGGGUUCAAUUCCUGGGUUGGGAA